RNAcentral lists this ribosomal RNA (492 nucleotides) under uncultured bacterium. RNAcentral's name for it is "partial 16S ribosomal RNA". It matches the Rfam family "Bacterial small subunit ribosomal RNA", at positions 29 to 507 of the family's 1533-position model. The record is from RNAcentral.
AGUGAACGCUGGCGGUAGGCCUAACACAUGCAAGUCGAACGGCAGCACAGUAAGAGCUUGCUCUUACGGGUGGCGAGUGGCGGACGGGUGAGGAAUACAUCGUAAUCUACUUUUUCGUGGGUGAUAACGUAGGGAAACUUACGCUAAUACCGCAUACGACCUACGGUUGAAAGCAUGGGAUCUUCGGACCUUGCGCGUUUGAUUGAGCCGAUGUCGGAUUAGCUAGUUGGCGGGGUAAAGGCCCACCAAGGCGACGAUCCGUAGCUGGUCUGAGAGGAUGAUCAGAGACACUGGAACUGAGACACGGUCCAGAAUCCUACGGGAGGCAGCAGUGGGGAAUAUUGGACAAUGGGCGAAAGCCUGAUACAGAAAUACCGCGUGGGUGAAGAAGGCCUUAGGGUUGUAAAGCCCUUUUGUUGGGAAAGAAAAGAAGCAGGUUAAUACCACGAUGUUCUGACGGUACCCAAAGAAUAAGCACCGGCUAACUUCGUG